RNAcentral lists this ribosomal RNA (497 nucleotides) under uncultured bacterium. RNAcentral describes it as "partial 16S ribosomal RNA". It matches the Rfam family "Bacterial small subunit ribosomal RNA", at positions 28 to 507 of the family's 1533-position model. The record is from RNAcentral.
GAUGAACGCUGGCGGCGUGCCUAAUACAUGCAAGUCGAGCGAACAGACGAGGAGCUUGCUCCUCUGACGUUAGCGGCGGACGGGUGAGUAACACGUGGAUAACCUACCUAUAAGACUGGGAUAACUUCGGGAAACCGGAGCUAAUACCGGAUAAUAUAUUGAACCGCAUGGUUCAAUAGUGAAAGACGGUUUUGCUGUCACUUAUAGAUGGAUCCGCGCCGCAUUAGCUAGUUGGUAAGGUAACGGCUUACCAAGGCAACGAUGCGUAGCCGACCUGAGAGGGUGAUCGGCCACACUGGAACUGGAACACGGUCCAGCCUCCUACGGGAGGCAGCAGUAGGGAAUCUUCCGCAAUGGGCGAAAGCCUGACGGAGCAACGCCGCGUGAGUGAUGAAGGUCUUCGGAUCGUAAAACUCUGUUAUUAGGGAAGAACAAAUGUGUAAGUAACUAUGCACGUCUUGACGGUACCUAAUCAGAAAGCCACGGCUAACUACGUG